This 425-nucleotide ribosomal RNA is filed under the name uncultured bacterium. RNAcentral describes it as "partial 16S ribosomal RNA". It matches the Rfam family "Bacterial small subunit ribosomal RNA", at positions 354 to 796 of the family's 1533-position model. The record is from RNAcentral.
GUGGGGAAUAUUGGACAAUGGGCGCAAGCCUGAUCCAGCCAUGCCGCGUGAGUGAUGAAGGCCCUAGGGUUGUAAAGCUCUUUCAGUGGGGACGAUAAUGACGGUACCCACAGAAGAAGCCCCGGCUAACUUCGUGCCAGCAGCCGCGGUAAUACGAAGGGGGCUAGCGUUGUUCGGAUUUACUGGGCGUAAAGCGCACGUAGGCGGAUCGUUAAGUCGAGGGUGAAAUCCUGGAGCUCAACUCCAGAACUGCCUUCGAUACUGGCGAUCUUGAGUCCGGAAGAGGUGAGUGGAACUCCUAGUGUAGAGGUGGAAUUCGUAGAUAUUAGGAAGAACACCAGUGGCGAAGGCGGCUCACUGGCUCGAUACUGACGCUGAGGUGCGAAAGCGUGGGGAGCAAACAGGAUUAGAUACCCCGGUAGUCC